UUUCUUCUAUUUUUUUCUCUCUACGUUGGUGUUUCAACCAAUAAUCACCGAAGCGAUAUUCUGUCCGAUCGAUUCAGGAACCAACUAACGCAUGCCAAAGUGUUGUACUUUGUGAAUUUCGGUAAAUGGAAUCCAAAGUGCUAUACUUUGUGAGUUCAAUAAAUGGAUGCCAAAGUACUGUCUGAAUAAGACUAUACUUUGUGAAAUUCGUUAAGGUUCGAAUCUCGUGAUCAUCAUUAGGUUUGAUAUGGUUUUACACAAAUACGUAUUCCGUUCUGUUAAACUAUAUGUUUAACCAUCCGAAUACUCCCAACUAUACGCUUACAAUCAAAAUGGAUGCUUGAUCAUCAGAAGAUCCAAAAUAAUAAAGUAUAUGCUUAAUUAUCAGAAGGAGUAGAAUCAAGAAGCUUGUUAGUUCAAUAUUGCAUGCUUAUAAUGGAUUAAGUUUUUGUAGUCUUUAAUUACAUCCGGUAUGUGGGGUAUUGUGCACAUUACUGUUGUUUUAUCACUUUAGGUGGGCGAGUCUAAAAUUUGUGAUAUUCGUCAUUAUUGGGUGACAGGACCCAAUAGUGGUAUGACCACAGUCACAGAAACGAGUCGAGUGACAAAUACUGUGGGUAGUUGGUUGACAUAUAAACAUUGUAAUCUCCCUUAAUAUUGUAAAUUAUAACAACGUGUCAUUUUAUUUAAAAUGAAUGAUUCACUCAGUAUUUCCCGCUGACAAAACCUUUUUAAAACGCGUUUCAAGUGAUUACAGUAGAUUGGAAUAAGAAUUGGAUACGGCACCAACAAGGUUUACAGAAGUGGCUUGAUU
Molecule: long non-coding RNA, 814 nt
Filed under: Helianthus annuus (common sunflower)
Lineage: Eukaryota; Viridiplantae; Streptophyta; Magnoliopsida; Asterales; Asteraceae
Description: hypothetical non coding rna
Source: RNAcentral